This is a long non-coding RNA of Gossypium arboreum, 1230 nucleotides long. RefSeq lists it as uncharacterized. NCBI's taxonomy places the organism in Eukaryota, Viridiplantae, Streptophyta, Magnoliopsida, Malvales, Malvaceae. The transcript has 2 exons. The record is from RefSeq and is a predicted model, not a curated record.
AGCCGACAGAACAAAACUUGUAUCCUAUAAUUAUUAAACACAGGUCUUUUCAUAUCUUCAAAAAAAAUCUUUAGACUUCUACUAUACAUUUCCAAAGCCAUAUUCCCUCAUCUGUCUGAACGCCUUUGCCUUAUCCUCUCAAACUCAUGGCGAACCUGCUCUGAAAAGAUGUCUGGACGCAUUUGCCUUAUCUUCUCUAACUUAUAGCGAACCUGCUCCGAAAUGCCAUUCUCCAGGUAAUAGCUUGCACCUUCCUACAAAGCCUCUCUUGCUAUAAUAUGCGCAAGCGUAUUUUCUGUUUUCGGGAUAAAGCGAUUUCUUGAAAGAGUGAUUUCACUUCUUGAAUAUCUUUGAUAAUCGCUCCUAUAAUAUAUUUAUCGGUUUCUGUACUCUGGCAUUUUUUGAUGACUGUAUUUGAAUCCCUGAAUAUUUCACAUGUAUUAAUGCCUAACAAGAUCCCUAAUCUCAUUGCUUGUAAUCCUGCAUGUGCCUCCCCCGCGAAUGAUGAGGCUACGUUUGAGUGAAGAACCGAUUUUGAUGCUAAAACUUACCCUUGCUAUCUCAAACCACUAGCCCUGAGGCAGAUCUAAAAAAGUUUUGGUCAAAAGUCACAUCAAAGUGGAUAGUUACACGCAUCCUUUGUUCAUCCUGAUUGUGGAGUCUGCCUUCUUCACAGAUACGUAGUUUUUCCUCUAACCCUUGCAGUUUUAAAUUAUAACUUGUUAUCUGUCUUGAAAUAUCUCUGCUACUUGUGAUUUUAUUUUCAUAAAGUAAUUGGUUUCUAUUUGACCAGAUGAGCCAAAGCCCGCAGCAGAAUAAACAACACUGCUCAUUUAUUCCUUGAUUAAAGACCCAGGCACUGUCGAAAAAUGUGGAUACUGUCUUCUUCUGUUUGUCUACAUCUGGGACACCAAGCUUCAACAACCACUCUCUUCAGUUUAGGAUUAGCUAAUGUAGGAAUAUAGUUCCAAGAGAUCUUCCACAUUGUAACUUUUAUUUUCGAUGGCAUCUAUAAAUUCCAUAGUUUUCUGUAGAAUUUUUUGUUUUCGGCCUGUAUAAUAUUAUUGUUAGGAAUCUGAGUAGAACUCUGUAAUAGUUUAUAGGCGUUUCUAACAGAAAAGAUACUUGAUGGUUCUCCUUCCUAGACUUGGAAAUCAUCAUGUACCGAACUAGUCAAAGGGAUCUGCAUAAUACUUUUCGCAAUAUAAAUACUAAAGGUAUUAACUAGAA